Molecule: ribosomal RNA, 467 nt
Filed under: uncultured Ochrobactrum sp.
Lineage: Bacteria; Pseudomonadati; Pseudomonadota; Alphaproteobacteria; Hyphomicrobiales; Brucellaceae
Description: bacterial SSU rRNA
Rfam family: Bacterial small subunit ribosomal RNA
Source: RNAcentral
UAGAGUUUGAUCCUGGCUCAGAACGAACGCUGGCGGCAGGCUUAACACAUGCAAGUCGAGCGCCCCGCAAGGGGAGCGGCAGACGGGUGAGUAACGCGUGGGAAUCUACCUUUUGCUACGGAAUAACUCAGGGAAACUUGUGCUAAUACCGUAUGUGCCCUUCGGGGGAAAGAUUUAUCGGCAAAGGAUGAGCCCGCGUUGGAUUAGCUAGUUGGUGAGGUAAAGGCUCACCAAGGCGACGAUCCAUAGCUGGUUGAGAGGAUGAUCAGCCACACUGGGACUGAGACACGGCCCAGACUCCUACGGGAGGCAGCAGUGGGGAAUAUUGGACAAUGGGCGCAAGCCUGAUCCAGCCAUGCCGCGUGAGUGAUGAAGGCCCUAGGGUUGUAAAGCUCUUUCACCGGUGAAGAUAAUGACGGUAACCGGAGAAGAAGCCCCGGCUAACUUCGUGCCAGCAGCCGCGGUAA